Molecule: long non-coding RNA, 1441 nt
Filed under: Taeniopygia guttata (zebra finch)
Lineage: Eukaryota; Metazoa; Chordata; Aves; Passeriformes; Estrildidae
Description: lncRNA (ENSTGUG00000020401.1)
Source: RNAcentral
GGGAAAGGGGCAGGUGGGGUCUUGCUCUGGUGGCUGCCAAUCCCUGGCACACUCCAGCAAUGCUCCACACCUGCCUCUAGAGCUCCCACCUAGCCCCAGAAUGGCCAGAUGACAGCAAGUCCCACCUGAGGGAAUGGCCCAGGAAAACCAAAGGACACUCAAACUGAGGUAGUCUUGGUCCUGCCUCCUCUUGGAACUUCUCUGAGCUGAGCACUGCUGGAACUAGGAGAGACUUCCUGUGCAUCAUUUUGAUGACACUAUUUCACCAUUAGUUGUGGAGCAGCAGGAAUGAAGUGAUUUGGAAGACUUCUUGCGGUGAGCCGAACCCCUGCUCUGAAUAUUUUUCUUCUGUCUAUAAUAUAUAGGAAAAUUCUUACAGCCUAGUUUAGAAAUGUCUUUGAAGAAUCUGGAGAUUAUUAAAAGCAGAUGUCACAACUGUCUUGAGCAUAGUGAGAAGGAGAAAAAGGAGCUCUCCUGAGAAGUCUGACAGUUUGCCACAAAGAAAUUGGUACAAAAGCUGUGAGCCCCAAGUUCCCACAGAGAUGCACCAUCUUGUGAGAGUUAAUAGAAGUCAGAUGAGCAAUGACAAAUGGAAGCAUGGACUGGGCUGCUGAAGAAGUAGGAGACAAUAAGAGAACAAGUUAGAUGAGAAGUCCUCUGACCUUGAGAAAGAAACAGCUAUCACUUCCAAAGGCAUCUUGCUUUUUUGUCAAUUUUCAAGUAAAACACUGAAUACACAUACAGUGUCACUUGAAGAAAUACAAAUAAAGAAUACUUGCAGAGUAAUUUAAGAGAUUUUUGUGAAUUAAUUGAACAUCGAGCAAAUCUACUAGCAAAUAUUUGUUAUCAGGUCAGUCAACAAAAAGUUGGUCUACAUAAUUCCAUUUGAAGAGCUUCUCCUUUUACAUUUUAUAUGCUGUUUUGCUUAGACACUACAUAUAACAGUGCAUGCCUUUAAUCUUUAAUAGAAAGAUUCUUUCCCCAUUAAAACCUCCAUUAGGUCCCUCAAAGUUACAUUGGAAAAUAAUUCUAGCUUCUAUGUGUCUUAUAAACUUUAUGCAGUUAGCUCUUCUGGGAGGAUUCCUUUUCCUCAUUUGAGUGUGUCAAGCUGGAUUGCCUGAUACUUGUGCUUAGUUUUCACCAGUUUAUAAGUAGUUCAGAAUGGUAUCUGUCUGAUGACUAUCUGUACAUUGAGAGAACAAACAAAUCACAAGCAAAUGCUGUGUGUGAUGGGAAAUUUGCAGGCAUCUUGCUAUGUUGUCAAUUUUUUCUUAUAUUACACUAGAAACUUCUAAUGUCCAAGGAGUCCCAUUUCAAAUAGUGCCUUACUACUUGGCACCUGUUAAACAGAAAUCAAUGGACUUUUAUUCAUGCUAAUUUCUUUCUGUUUAGCAUAAGUUCGUAGUUGUUAAAGGUUCCUUCUUCAUUCUAAAAACAAUCA